This 441-nucleotide ribosomal RNA is filed under the name Begonia madecassa. RNAcentral's name for it is "eukaryotic LSU rRNA". It matches the Rfam family "Eukaryotic large subunit ribosomal RNA", at positions 289 to 730 of the family's 3401-position model. Lineage: Eukaryota; Viridiplantae; Streptophyta; Magnoliopsida; Cucurbitales; Begoniaceae. The record is from RNAcentral.
AAAUCGGGCGGUAAAUUCCGUCCAAGGCUAAAUAUUGGCGAGAGACCGAUAGCAAACAAGUACCGCGAGGGAAAGAUGAAAAGGACUUUGAGAAAAGAGUCAAAGAGUACUUGAAAUUGUCGGGAGGGAAGCGGAUGGGGGCCGGCGGUGCGCCUUGGUCGGAUGUGGAACGGCGUCUAGCCGGUCUGCCAAUCGACUCAGGGCGUGGACCGACGCGGAUUGCAGUGGUGGCCCAAGCCUGAGCCUUCGUUGUGCUUGUGGAGACGUCAUCACCGCGAUCGUGGCUGGCAGCGCGCGCCUCUGGCGUGCUUCGGCAUCAGCGCGCUCCGGGCGUCGGCCUGCGGGCUCCCCAUUCGGCCCGUCUUGAAACACGGACCAAGGAGUCUGACAUGUGUGCGAGUCAACGGGCCAGUAAACCCGUGAGGCGCAAGGAAGCUGACU